UGGCGGAUGCUUUCACAUGCAAGUCGAACGGUAGAGGGGGCAACCCCUUGAGAGUGGCGAACGGGUGAGUAAUGUAUCGGAACGUGCCCAGUCGUGGGGGAUAACGUAGUGAAAAUUACGCUAAUACCGCAUACGAUCUAUGGAUGAAAGCGGGGGAUCGCAAGACCUCGCGCGAUUGGAGCGGCCGAUAUCAGAUUAGGUAGUUGGUAGGGUAAAGGCCUACCAAGCCAACGAUCUGUAGCUGGUCUGAGAGGACGACCAGCCACACUGGAACUGAGACACGGUCCAGACUCCUACGGGAGGCAGCAGUGGGGAAUUUUGGACAAUGGGCGAAAGCCUGAUCCAGCCAUUCCGCGUGCAGGAUGAAGGCCCUCGGGUUGUAAACUGCUUUUGUACAGAACGAAAAGGUUUCUAUUAAUACUAGGAGCUCAUGACGGUACUGUAAGAAUAAGCACCGGCUAACUACGUGCCAGCAGCCGCGGUAAU
RNAcentral lists this ribosomal RNA (486 nucleotides) under uncultured Comamonadaceae bacterium. RNAcentral's name for it is "bacterial SSU rRNA". It matches the Rfam family "Bacterial small subunit ribosomal RNA", at positions 37 to 524 of the family's 1533-position model. Lineage: Bacteria; Pseudomonadati; Pseudomonadota; Betaproteobacteria; Burkholderiales; Comamonadaceae. The record is from RNAcentral.